CCUCCAUUUCUUGGCAUGUUGGGUGUUGUCCCGUACCCCUGCAUGUAAUGUACGGAGGUAGAUUAUGCCCCCGGUGCUAUGUCUUCGGUGCCAGCCCCUCUAUUGGACUGGUUCUAUCCUCAAUCACUGGGACAGUU
Molecule: small nucleolar RNA, 137 nt
Organism: Xenopus tropicalis (tropical clawed frog)
Lineage: Eukaryota; Metazoa; Chordata; Amphibia; Anura; Pipidae
Source: Ensembl